Molecule: ribosomal RNA, 497 nt
Filed under: uncultured bacterium
Lineage: Bacteria
Description: partial 16S ribosomal RNA
Rfam family: Bacterial small subunit ribosomal RNA
Source: RNAcentral
GACGAACGCUGGCGGCGUGCCUAAUACAUACAAGUUGAGCGAUGAAGAUUGGUGCUUGCCCCAAUUUGAAGAGCAGCGAACGGGUGAGUAACGCGUGGGGAAUCUGCCUUUGAGCGGGGGACAACAUUUGGAAACGAAUGCUAAUACCGCAUAACAACUUUAAACAUAAGUUUUAAGUUUGAAAGAUGCAAUUGCAUCACUCAAAGAUGAUCCCGCGUUGUAUUAGCUAGUUGGUGAGGUAAAGGCUCACCAAGGCGAUGAUACAUAGCCGACCUGAGAGGGGGAUCGGCCACAGUGGGACUGAGACACGGCCCAAACUCCUACGGGAGGCAGCAGUAGGGAAUCUUCGGCAAUGGACGAAAGUCUGACCGAGCAACGCCGCGUGAGUGAAGAAGGUUUUCGGAUCGUAAAACUCUGUUGGUAGAGAAGAACGUUGGUGAGAGUGGAAAGCUCAUCAAGUGACGGUAACUACCCAGAAAGGGACGGCUAACUACGUG